Molecule: ribosomal RNA, 409 nt
Filed under: bacterium
Lineage: Bacteria
Description: partial 16S ribosomal RNA
Rfam family: Bacterial small subunit ribosomal RNA
Source: RNAcentral
UGGGGAAUAUUGCGCAAUGGACGAAAGUCUGACGCAGCAACGCCGCGUGAGGGAUGACGGCCUUCGGGUUGUAAACCUCUUUCAGCAGGGACGAAGCGAGAGUGACGGUACCUGCAGAAGAAGGACCGGCCAACUACGUGCCAGCAGCCGCGGUAAUACGUAGGGUCCGAGCGUUGUCCGGAAUUAUUGGGCGUAAAGGGCUCGUAGGCGGUUCGUCACGUCGGGAGUAAAAACUCGGAGCUUAACUCCGAGCCUGCUUCCGAUACGGGCAGACUAGAGGUAGGCAGGGGAGAGCGGAACUCCUGGUGUAGCGGUGGAAUGCGCAGAUAUCAGGAAGAACACCGGUGGCGAAGGCGGCUCUCUGGGCCUUACCUGACGCUGAGGAGCGAAAGCGUGGGUAGCGAACAGG